UACGUAUGGUGCAAGCGUUAUCCGGAUUUACUGGGUGUAAAGGGAGCGCAGGCGGCGCGGCAAGUCCGAUGUGAAAACCCCCGGCUCAACCGGGGGACUGCAUUGGAAACUACCGGGGUGGAGUGCCGGAGAGGUAGGCGGAAUUCCUGGUGUAGCGGUGAAAUGCGUAGAUAUCAGGAGGAACACCAGUGGCGAAGGCGGCCUACUGGACGGUGACUGACGCUGAGGCUCGAAAGCGUGGGGAGCAAACAGG
This 253-nucleotide ribosomal RNA is filed under the name uncultured bacterium. Its description in RNAcentral is "partial 16S ribosomal RNA". It matches the Rfam family "Bacterial small subunit ribosomal RNA", at positions 524 to 776 of the family's 1533-position model. The record is from RNAcentral.